GGUACCAGGGGGUGUGUUAACCUACCUCCACAGUAAGAAGGUACCAGGGGGUGUGUGUUAACCUACCUCCACAACAAGAAGGUACCAGGGGUGUGUGUUAACCUACCUCCACAGUGAGAAGGUACCAGGGGGUGUGUGUAACCUACCUCCACAGUGAGAAGGUACCAGGGGUGUGUGUUAACCUACCUCCACAGUGAGAAGGUACCAGGGGGUGUGUGUUAACCUACCUCCACAGUGAGAAGGUACCAGGGGUGUGUGUUAACCUACCUCCACAGUGAGAAGGUACCAGGGGGUGUGUUAACCUACCUCCACAGUGAGAAGGUACCAGGGGGUGUGUUAACCUACCUCCACAGUGAGAAGGUACCAGGGGGUGUGUUAACCUACCUCCACAGUGAGAAGGUACCAGGGGGUGUGUUAACCUACCUCCACAGUGAGAAGGUACCAGGGGUGUGUUAACCUACCUCCACAGUGAGAAGGUACCAGGGGUGUGUGUUAACCUACCUCCACAGUGAGAAGGUACCAGGGGUGUGUGUUAACCUACCUCCACAGUGAGAAGGUACCAGGGGUGUGUGUUAACCUACCUCCACAGUGAGAAGGUACCAGGGGUGUGUGUUAACCUACCUCCACAGUGAGAAGGUACCAGGGGUGUGUGUUAACCUACCUCCACAGUGAGAAGGUACCAGGGGGUGUGUGUUAACCUACCUCCACAGUGAGAAGGUACCAGGGGGUGUG
Molecule: long non-coding RNA, 732 nt
Organism: Oncorhynchus tshawytscha (Chinook salmon)
Lineage: Eukaryota; Metazoa; Chordata; Actinopteri; Salmoniformes; Salmonidae
Exons: 2
Source: RefSeq, a predicted model, not a curated record